ACCCUUGAGUGGUAAUUUUUCCAAGGUCAUUAUGAAAUUUGUCUGUUGUCGUUGCGGACGAUUAGAGAGCUGGACUCUAUCCCGCGUGCUAUUGAUGAGUGAUAAUUAUCACAUCAUGCGCAGAGGCAAUGAGAAGUCCUGCUAAUGCAUUUAAGAGGAGCCGACCUGUCAAGGCCAGCAGCCCCCAACAAUCCAAACAUCACAAUUGGAAAAAAACCAAAGUGAGUUUGAGAAUUUAAUGACACUCACACAGGCAUGCCCCUCGGAAUACCAAGGGGCGCAAGGUGCGUUCAAAGAUUCGAUGAUUCACUGAAUUCUGCAAUUCACAUUACUUAUCGCAUUUCGCUGCGUUCUUCAUCGAUGCGAGAGCCAAGAGAUCCGUUGUUGAAAGUUGUAUUAUGGUUUAUAGGCACAAGGCCCAUUAAAUGACAUUCGCAGACAUACAUUUGGGGUGUGUUAGUAAAAAAACUGGGGAGGUACCCCCAAACCGUUAAAUCCCCCCAAACCCGACUCACACGCCCCGACACAAGAUCUCACAUCUCUCACAAGAUCACAGGGGGUUGAAAAAGAAUCGAAUCGUGAGCAUCUCCCUCUAGAGCCUCAACCCCACGCAAUUGUAUACAUUUAAGACACAUUCCCGCGGGCACCCCCCGGAACAUCUGUGACGACUCUUACAUCCACAAA
Molecule: unclassified non-coding RNA, 684 nt
Filed under: Pleurotus ostreatus (oyster mushroom)
Lineage: Eukaryota; Fungi; Basidiomycota; Agaricomycetes; Agaricales; Pleurotaceae
Description: sequence contains 18S rRNA gene, ITS1, 5.8S rRNA gene, ITS2, 28S rRNA gene
Source: RNAcentral